UACGUAGGGUGCUAGCGUUGUUCGGAAUCAUUGGGCGUAAAGCGCGUGUAGGUGGUUAGUUAAGUCGGGUGUGAAAUCCCUGGGCUCAACCGAGGAAGUGCAUUCGAAACUAACUAGCUGGAAGAUGGUAGAGGAAGGUGGAAUUCCUAGUGUAGAGGUGAAAUUCGUAGAUAUUAGGAGGAAUACCGGUGGCGAAGGCGGCCUUCUGGACCAUUCUUGACACUGAGACGCGAAAGCGUGGGUAGCAAACAGG
Molecule: ribosomal RNA, 253 nt
Filed under: uncultured bacterium
Lineage: Bacteria
Description: partial 16S ribosomal RNA
Rfam family: Bacterial small subunit ribosomal RNA
Source: RNAcentral